Molecule: ribosomal RNA, 254 nt
Filed under: uncultured bacterium
Lineage: Bacteria
Description: partial 16S ribosomal RNA
Rfam family: Bacterial small subunit ribosomal RNA
Source: RNAcentral
UACGUAGGGGGCGAGCGUUGUCCGGAUUUAUUGGGCGUAAAGAGCUCGUAGGCGGUUUGGCAAGUCGGGUGUGAAAACUCCGGGCUCAACUCGGAGACGCCACUCGAUACUGCUAUGACUCGAGUCCGGUAGGGGAGUGCGGAAUUCCUGGUGUAGCGGUGAAAUGCGCAGAUAUCAGGAGGAACACCGGUGGCGAAGGCGGCACUCUGGGCCGGUACUGACGCUGAGGAGCGAAAGCGUGGGGAGCAAACAGG